This 446-nucleotide long non-coding RNA is filed under the name Fukomys damarensis (Damara mole-rat). RNAcentral's name for it is "lncRNA (ENSFDAG00000021709.1)". The record is from RNAcentral. Lineage: Eukaryota; Metazoa; Chordata; Mammalia; Rodentia; Bathyergidae.
CGAGGCUGGGGCAGCGGGCGGCAGCACUCUGGGCGGUGCUGGUGCCCAGCCCGGAGUGGAGAGGCGAGGCGGGAAAGUAAUUAGAAACAGUUGUACAAGCAGAUGGUUUAUUUUGACAUUAAAAAAAAAAGUCAGGUUCGCAGAUUUGAGAAAAAUCGUUUCUUUCUUUCUUCAAGUAGAGGCCCCAGAAGUACUGACAAGAGAAUAUUUGAGCUGGCUGAUGCUAAAGGGGCCAUUCAAGGAAUGCUGCAAGUUGGAGAGGAGACGGGGCUCCUGGUGACGCCUGCCCCCGAAGGAUCAGGAUGGGGAAAGGAAUCGCUCUGCCCAGUGGCCUUCCAAGGAUAACUGCAAAAUACUCUAUGUAUUCAUAAAAGAUGCUUUAUGUUUGGACACUGAUAUCUUCAUAAUGCAGGAUCCCUCAACUCACAGGCAGCACAGCAGGAGGU